AUGGUGGAACAGGUCACGGGUUCAGCCAACAACACAUCAGAUGCCAUUAUUCUACUGACCGAGACCAUGGUGGAGCGACACGAGACAGGUGUUGAUGGUUCUGUCUCAGUUGGAGGGCAACGCUGGUUUCUCCAUCACACAGACUGGCUCACAGGAAGGCAGUCCACGCCUUGCUGGGCGUGGACACCACACAGCAGGCCUCCAUUGGCCUCGUCCACUUUGACCAAGGACUCUACCUCCUACACCAGGGCUGUUAAAUUAUUUUCAUGGAUGGCCAAAACACUUCUAGUGUGUUUCCUUUCCUUCUAAGUGUUUCGGUCCUCCAUGUCCGGAAUUGAAUAGCCCUGCCAUACACCAUCAUCACAGUUGUGCACCGGGGCCUCCCACUCCUCUUUCUAUUCUGGUUAGAGCCAGUGUGUGCUGUUCUAUGAAGGGAGUAGUACACAGCGUUGUAUGAGAUUUCUUGUAUGGAAUAGCCUUAAUUUCUCAGAACAAGAAUAGACUGAUGAGUUUCAGCAGAAACUGCAUGGUUUCUGGCCAUUUUGCGCCUGUAAUCAAACCCACAAAUGCUGAUGCUCCAGAUACUCAACUAGUCUAAAGAAGGCCAGUUUUAUUGCUUCUUUCAUCAGGAUGACAGUUUUCAGCUGUGCUAACAUAAUUUCAAAAAGGUUUUCUAAUGAUCAAUUAGCCUUUUAAAAUGAUAAACUUGGAUUAUCUAACACAACAUGACAUUGGAACACAGGAGUGAUGGUUGCUGGUAAUGGGCCUCUGUAUGCCUAUGUAGAUAGUCCUUAAUAAAAUCUGCCAUUUCUAGCUACAAUAGUAAUUUACAACAUUAACAAUGUCUACACUGUAUUUCUGAUCAAUUUGAUGUUAUUUUAAUGGACAAAAAAUGUGCCUUUCUUUCAAAAACAAGGAUAUUUCUAACUUUUGAACGGUAGUGUAGGACGACCCCCCAAAACAAAGUGAAAUCGACACAAUCUUAACGUCAUCAUCAUUAUAAUAAUCUGUGAUCAUGGUAGUGAUUCCAAGAGACAAACACAUGUGUUGGUUUAGGAAAAAUCAAGUUUGGCAUUACAGGAGUGCUAAGCAUAAAAACAUCACAGUGGUUAAAAAAGAUUCUAUCCACAGGAGGGUGUUGAACGUUCAGGUUGGAUACAACAGUGAUCUUAGACAGGAUAUGUGUAUAUCCUUUCUGUACAAAUGCAUGUAUCCUACCUUAAAGAAAUUUGAGAGGCACAAAUAUUUGCAUUUGUGUUGCUCAUAACAGUCACAUACUCAAAUGUAUUCUUUAUAUUUUCUUAUGAUUUGUAUGAUUUUAAUGGAGUGACAAUUUUACUUCUGAAUUGAUAUAUGAUGAUGGUUAGAUUCGUUUCCUACUCUUUGGCAGAAUGACAUGGAAGGAAUAGGGUUGCAAAUGUUCCUGAAAUGUUCAGGUUUUACAUGUAAAAUGUAAUAAAGUUGUCACAGGCAGUUGACAUUCUGACUGUAUAUGAGAUCAGGAAAAAGGACACACAGCCCCAAGUAUGAGCAAGGCUAAAGACAGCUCAAUACAGGUGGUGAUGAUCAAAUGUCUGGCAUAUUGAAAAAUCUCAGUUAAUCCUGUAUCAUAAUCAUCCACCAGGUGGCGCUGCAAAAUGCUCACACCUUGCAAAUCUAUGGAUUAGCCAAGUAUUCUAUACCAUAUCAUGACAUUUUAAAAAGAGGGCUAAAGGCAUGUUUCUUAAUUGAAUUAAGAUAUUUUAGGAGAUUAAAAUAAGUACUUAAUAACAUGCACAUGUAUCUUGUCCCAGUAUGCACAGCUGAAUGUAUCCCUUCAUUCUAUGUAUGUUUGGUAGUUUACUAAAACAUUCCCUAUUUUAUGUCUCAAACCCGAACAAAACCUGUAGCAGAGUUUGCUCAAGUGUAAGGGUGCUUUAGUUAAACAGGGGCUCCAUUGGUGAGAUUGAGCGAGAGAGAGAGGCAUAUUGGUGAGAGACCCUAAACUGGUUUGGGAAAAUGUGUAAAAAAAUUAUAGCAUAAUUGUUUGGGUUUUUGGAUGUGUCCUGCCCUGCCGCCUACAGCCUCCCCAUCUUUCCAAAAUAGCGCUAGAGAACUUUUAAACUACACAACAAUCCAAACGCACAGGUCGGGCCCCAGGGUACGUGCCCUGCGUGCCCGUUUGGUAAGCCGGCCCUGGUAGGCCGGCGAUCAUAGCAGAAUGGGAGUGGGCAGAAAAAAUACUGACUCUGUUAUCAAGAAGUCACACCGUCAAAAUCUUGGCGAAUUAUUGGAGACGAACACUGAACACCAAAGGAAGACAUUUGGACACGUAGAGCAAAAUCUGUCAAAUUGAGUGUAACUUGGCAGUAUGUCUUUACGGAUAGUUCUUUGUAGAUUUGAUCAACUAUUUCAAGUCAAAACAUAUUGAAAUCAAUAGAAAAUAAACACCGGUUGCGAAAAGGAAUUCGAUUUUUCUGGAUUAAAUAUCAAUACAGGUUUGUAGUCUAAAUUACCUGGAUUCUUCUGUCUGCUUUUGACGAGAAAGAGGAGCGGGGCGUAUUCACAUCAUCAUCCCUGUCGGCAGGUAAUACACGGGCGUAGUAGAAUGAUAACCUUUACAACUCAGUUUCCAGUCAUUUAUCUAUCAUUCCUAAUAAUAUUACUCAUGAAUGAGUAGGCC
This 2662-nucleotide long non-coding RNA is filed under the name Oncorhynchus kisutch (coho salmon). Its description in RNAcentral is "lncRNA (ENSOKIG00005012374.1)". Lineage: Eukaryota; Metazoa; Chordata; Actinopteri; Salmoniformes; Salmonidae. The record is from RNAcentral.